CAGAGAUUAGUUUAAUUAAAAUAUUAGUUUUGGAGAUUAAUGAUGAGGUGGUACCUUUUCUCUGA
Molecule: transfer RNA, 65 nt
Filed under: Neurobasis chinensis
Lineage: Eukaryota; Metazoa; Arthropoda; Insecta; Odonata; Calopterygidae
Description: tRNA-Pro
Source: RNAcentral